RNAcentral lists this ribosomal RNA (322 nucleotides) under uncultured eukaryote. Its description in RNAcentral is "partial 18S ribosomal RNA". It matches the Rfam family "Eukaryotic small subunit ribosomal RNA", at positions 1470 to 1796 of the family's 1831-position model. The record is from RNAcentral.
CCCUUAGAUGUUCUGGGCCGCACGCGCGCUACACUGAGUGGAUCAGCGGGUCAGGUUGCGCGAAAGCGUUUCCUAAUCUUUAAAUCCGCUCGUGAUGGGGAUUGACGGUAGCAAUUUUCUGUCAUGAACGAGGAAUACCUUGUAAGCGCGGGUCAUCAUCCCGCGCUGAAUACGUCCCUGCCCUUUGUACACACCGCCCGUCGCUCCUACCGAUUGAGUGGUCCGGUGAGGCUUUGGGAUCUGAGCGGAAAGAGCGUUUCGCUGUUUCUGCUCGGAAAACUCAGUCGAACCUUAUCAUUUAGAGGAAGGAGAAGUCGUAACA